ACGGCUGUACCAUGCUGAAUAUACCGGUUCUCGUUAGAUCACCGAAGUCAAGCAUCAUUGGGCGCCGGUCAGUACUUGGGUGGGUGACCACCUGGGAACACUGCGUGCCGUU
This 112-nucleotide ribosomal RNA is filed under the name Caerostris darwini. The record is from RNAcentral. Lineage: Eukaryota; Metazoa; Arthropoda; Arachnida; Araneae; Araneidae.